Molecule: long non-coding RNA, 4206 nt
Filed under: Coffea arabica (coffee)
Lineage: Eukaryota; Viridiplantae; Streptophyta; Magnoliopsida; Gentianales; Rubiaceae
Description: long non-coding RNA (CARA_LNC006188)
Source: RNAcentral
UUGCAAAAGGGAUAAGAAGAAUUGUUGAGACAAGCUAUGAAGAUGAGCUAAGAAGAAUGAAAGGGCAAGGGAGGGAGAGAAGAAAGAGGCUGAAAUUUAGGACUAAAAAAGGUUUGACUAAGAGGAGGACUAGUGUUGUCAAUCUCCUUCUGCUGCUUCUGAUGAUCCUGCAUGGGUUCCAUGAGUUUUUGCUGUUUGGUUGUAGGCAUUGAAGGACAACUGUAAAUCUUGGUCUGGGAUGGUGAGAACUGAGAAGACGCGUGGGAUUCUUAAGGCAGUGCAUGCAGUUUUUGGCUAUAUAUUUCUCGAAAAAUGUAAGGCUAAUUGACUGAUGUGGAGUUGGGGGUUUGGUAUUUGUAGAGCUUUAUUGUUGAAGCCUUAAAAUUGAUGCCAAAUAAAAGAUAAGCAACAAAAGAUAGAGCUACCACAGCCACCCUGCCAUAACCAUUAAUGGCCACCGCUCUCCUAUUCCAUUCAGAUGGAGAGAGAGAGAGAGAGAGAGAGACAAAGAUAACAAGGAAAGGAAAUUAAUUGAAUGGAAUUGUGAUUGGUAAGACAAUGGUCAAUGAAAAGAAGCCCCAGAAGGGACCAAAAAACCAAUUUAAAAGUAUAGAAAGUUCUUAAUGGAACAAAGAAAUAAAAGGUUUGUUCGACUAAAUGCACAGAGAGUGUGUGUGAAUGUGCGUGAAAAUGUGGAGCAUAAAAGCUUGCAUGAGUGGAAGAUACAGUGGUUGAAGUGAAGACUGAAAGUUGGUGGAUUUGCCAGUUUUGGUGUGUUAGCUCAAAACAACUAUGAACAUACAUGAAAGUGAUCCGUUCGAUUUCCAAUUUAUCUGUUAGUUUGUGGUAGUUUUUUUCUUUCUUUCUUUCUUUUUAAAAAAAAAAAAAAUAUGUACGAAGGAGGGAGGGGCUGAGGGAACGUAAGAUUAUUGAGUCAACCACUUCAGGUCCCCACGUCAUAGCUAUAAAACAAACUUCCUGCUCUCAUUCUCUUUUCUGUGAUUUUACGUUUGCAGAUUUUCUGUUUCUUAGACAAAGAGGAAACUUAUUCUUUAACCUUGUGAUUGGAUUGAGUUAACCAAAUCUUUGUGUCCUUUUGCAGCCUCUUUCUGAUUGAAUGGUUGCAUUGAGGCUCAGACUUUUGCUUCCUAAUCCAAAAUCCAAGCCUUUCAUCUCCAGCGCUCCAAACAUUUUUUUGAGCUCGAUCGCAUUACACUUUUACUAGAACAAGAAAUCCAACCACUUCAAGAUUUCUGUUUAGCAUCUGAUAGACAAUUUACAUUUUACUUACGUUUCAAGUUACUGACUUUCUAGGUUGCCCUUUUGGUGGAUUCAACUUGGUAGAUUCUUGAACUUUAAGCUGCCCAAUUGAUUUUGCAUUUUGCCUUCACACAUCAAGAAUAGAAAUCAAAAGGGAAAAGAUUUUAUUAGUAAUAAAUAGUCUUUACAAAAUUUUUCUUGGGGGAAAGUAUAGCAUACAUUUUACCAGAGACCUAUAAAAAUAAAUGAAGAACCUACAAAACCAACACCAUCCUCUCUGCAGCUCUGUGAAGCUAUACACAGAACUUUGCCUUGGUUGAUAGUAUUUCCUACUUAAUGCAACUCCUGAUUAGCACACAUGGGCCUAAACUGCCUUCUGUUAUUUUGGAAUUUACAUCAUUUCUCAGUUUUUAAGUGCAAGUUCCUACUUUGAAAAUUUGUGAUGUUUGAGGAGAUGUGGCCACAGUCAUAUAUAAAUAUAUAUAUAUAUAUAUAUAUAUAUAUAUAUAUAUAUAUCAGGGAUAAUAAAACUAUAGAUCCACCAUUGAGGCCCCUAUGUAUUGUAUUUGCCAAAAAGUCAAUCUAAAAUGUCCAAUGGAAAAUUAAAAUUUUUUAACGAACUUAAUCAUGUGCACCUUUACAAAUUGAUUGUCUUGGUCCAUUAUUUUCAAAGUUGUGUCCAAUUUUGUCAUUUCAUCAAUACAAACCCAAAAGUCCAUUAUUUCACAAAACAAAAAAAAUUAGUAUGGGAGUUUUGAUGGGAUAUUUUAAAAAAUGCUAAUGGAGCCAGUUUUGUACACUAUAAGUCUACAUUUGAAAUUAAAAAAAAAAAAAACACACACACACACACACACUAAUGGGUAUGUGGUGAUAUGUAAGGGGUACAAUUGGAUACGAUCUAAUGAUAAUGUAGCAAAAUGGUCAUUUUUAAUUGUGCACCAGAGUGACACUGCUAAAAAUUUUUUUUUUUAAUUUUUCAUUAGAGGGUCUUGAUUGGCUUUUUAUAGGAUAGAUGAAGGAGUUAAAAUAGCCGCGCGCGGUGAUAAAUUAGGACUAAAUUGACUAAAACUCCAAACAUAAGGGACCAAAAUGGCUAUUUUUCCUCCUGGACUCCUACUAGUUUUAAGAUAUUGGACUAAUAUAUAGUGUGCCAGAAUGGUGGUACAUUUAGAACUUUAGGGUCAUUUCACUGGAUUGAAACUACAAAGCCAUUUUGAAAAACUCUCAACUCUUCGAAAAACUCUUAAAAGUGGAAAGCUCAUUUUGACAGGAUUAGAGUACUGCCUGCACAAUGCCAAUGGCUAUUUCCUACUUAUACCUGUUUAACAUCCCAAGUUGAAACCCUAAACCAUACAACAGAAUUUAUUUGCGAAAUGCAUCAUACCAGCUUCAAUCUUCAGUGCCUAAAUCAUUAGGUAAGAUUAAUCUUGCAAAUAUAAAUCAUUAGGUAAGGUUAAUCUUGCAAAUAUUCUGUGAGAUAGUACAUAAAUUUAAAUUUAUUUGUAUUCAUGGCCAAAAAAAAAAAAAAGAAGAAAGAUUAGCAAAUGUAUUUGCACUAGAAGACCUUGAAAGAGAAAUUAUGUGGUAUUCUUUUUUUUUUUUCACCUGAAAGAGUAUUAUUGGCAAGGUUUAGUGUCUGGAGAUUCUGAAGGCUACCCAAUUCUGCUGGAAUUGAUCCAUUCAAGUUAUUAAGGGCGGCAGUGAAUACAGCAAGGCUAGAACAAUUCCCAAGCUCAGCUGGAAUAGGGCCAUCCAGCUGAUUGUCCUGCAAAAUCAAGUACUGAAGCUGCCCAAGUUUACCUAGCUCUGGAGGUAUAUGACCACUAAGACUGCAUGAGGCCAGGCCAAGAAUGAUCAAAUUAUCAAGAUUACCAAAAGAAGCAGGAAUAGGCCCUGUGAGGCCAUUGUCACCAAUUUUGAGAAUUUGGAGGUUGAUGAGAAUGCCAAGUUGAGAAGGAAUGGGACCAGAAAGCUGGUUAGAGUAAAGAAGCAAAGAUUCCAAAGAAGAAAGGUUUGAAAGAGUAGUUGGAAUGGGGCCUGAGAGCUGAUUAGAAGAAAGAUCAAGUUGGAGCAGGUCAUGCAAAAGGCCUAGGGAAGGUGAUAUUGUCCCACCAAGUGAAGAAUCAGAAAGAUUGAGACUCACCAGUUCAGUGAGCCAUCAGCUGGAUUUCUUGCGCAUGAGACACCUCUCCAUGUACAGAAAUUUGGGUUGUUUAUGGACCAAUCUUGCAGCACAUUCUGGGGUCUUGAAACGACUGUUUCACCUCCAAAAGAACUUGAAGAGUUGAUGAAGAAUUUGCACCCUGGCAUGACACUGAUCCACUUGAAAGAACGAUGACUAGAACUACGACAAGAACUGAUAAAACUUGUCUCAGAAAUGCCAUCUUUUUUUUUGUUGUUGCAAAAGGGAUAAGAAGAAUUGUUGAGACAAGCUAUGAAGAUGAGCUAAGAAGAAUGAAAGGGCAAGGGAGGAGAGAAGAAAGAGGCUGAAAUUUAGGACUAAAAAAGGUUUGACUAAGAGGAGGACUAGUGUUGUCAAUCUCCUUCUGCUGCUUCUGAUGAUCCUGCAUGGGUUCCAUGAGUUUUUGCUGUUUGGUUGUAGGCAUUGAAGGACAACUGUAAAUCUUGGUCUGGGAUGGUGAGAACUGAGAAGACGCGUGGGAUUCUUAAGGCAGUGCAUGCAGUUUUUGGCUAUAUAUUUCUCGAAAAAUGUAAGGCUAAUUGACUGAUGUGGAGUUGGGGGUUUGGUAUUUGUAGAGCUUUAUUGUUGAAGCCUUAAAAUUGAUGCCAAAUAAAAGAUAAGCAAAAAAGAUAGAGCUACCACAGCCACCCUGCCAUAACCAUUAAUGGCCACCGCUCUCCUAUUCCAUUCAGAUGGAGAGAGAGAGAGAGAGAGAGAGACAAAGAUAACAAGGAAAGGAAAUUAAUUGAAUGGAAUUGUGAUUG